Molecule: ribosomal RNA, 1443 nt
Filed under: Triticum aestivum (bread wheat)
Lineage: Eukaryota; Viridiplantae; Streptophyta; Magnoliopsida; Poales; Poaceae
Description: partial small subunit ribosomal RNA
Source: RNAcentral
AUGGGGAAACCGAGGGCCUCCGGUGAUGUCAGGACCGGGGCGCUUGCUUCCGGCAGCGGAGGCGCGACGGCGCCGCUCCUCCCCCGGAAUGAUCGCACGGCGGAUGCCAAGGUCCAGGGAGGCUCCCUCUUUAUGGUCCUGCUCAGCACCGCGGUCGCCGUCUGCGGCGCCUUCGAGUUCGGCACCUGCGUUGGUUAUUCUGCACCCACUCAGUCAGGAAUAGAGCGCGAACUCGGACUAUCCAUGGCUGAGUUCGCUAUUUUUGGGUCUGUAUUGACUAUCGGGGCAAUGAUUGGUGCCGUUACCAGCGGACGCUUAGCGGACUCUCUUGGACGUAAAAUGACCAUGCGGAUAGCAGCUACUAUUUGCGUUUUUGGUUGGCUUUCUAUACAUUUCGCUAAGGGUGCUAUUAUGCUCUAUUUUGGAAGAACCUUGCUGGGCUUUUGUACCGGUGUUCUUUCUUAUGUGGUGCCUGUGUUCAUAGCUGAAAUAGCGCCUAAGGAUCUCAGAGGUGGCCUUGCAACUUCAAACCAGUUGUUGAUCGUUUGUGGGAGUUCGACUACUUACAUAACAGGGGCGCUGGUUACAUGGCGCAAUUUGGUAUUAGUUGGUAUAGUGCCAUCUGUUCUCCUCUUAGUAGGUCUUCUCUUCAUUCCAGAGUCACCAAGAUGGCUGGCUCAGGUUGGAAGGGAGGAAGAAUUCCACACCGCAUUGCAGAUGCUGCGUGGAGAGAAUGCUGACAUAUCUGAAGAGGCCAUUGAGAUCAAAGAGUACAUUGAAUCCCUCCAAAGCCUCCCAAAGGCCAGGAUUCAGGACUUGUUUUUGAGCAGAAAUAUAUUUGCGGUCAUUGUGGGUCUUGGCUUGAUGAUCUUCCAGCAAUUGGGAGGGAUAAAUGGUGUAGGCUUUUAUGCAAGCUCUAUCUUUAGUUCUGCAGGAUUUUCUGGAAAACUUGGAACCAUAUUAAUUGGCAUUGUUCAGAUUCCCAUUACAUUGCUUGGCGCCUUUCUCAUGGAUAGGAGUGGAAGAAGGGUUCUUCUAAUGGUUUCCGCAUCUGGGACAUUCUUGGGCUGCUUUUUGACAGGAAUAUCGUUCUACCUAAAGGCGCACGGACUAUUCCUAGAAUGGGUUCCUGCAUUGGCUCUUUCCGGCAUCCUGGUAUAUAUAGGUGCAUACUCAAUUGGAAUGGGCCCCGUCCCUUGGGUUGUCAUGUCUGAGAUAUUCGCGAUUAACAUCAAAGCAAUCGGCGGAAGCUUGGUGACCCUCAUUAGCUGGCUUGGUUCCUUCGCGGUCUCUUACUCGUUUAACUUCCUCAUGGACUGGAGCUCAGCAGGGACGUUCUUCAUGUUCUCUGCGGCGAGCUUGGUCACUAUACUGUUCGUGGCAAGGCUAGUGCCUGAAACCAAAGGAAAAACACUCGAAGAGAUCCAGGACGCAUGGAAUUAA